This 253-nucleotide ribosomal RNA is filed under the name uncultured bacterium. Its description in RNAcentral is "partial 16S ribosomal RNA". It matches the Rfam family "Bacterial small subunit ribosomal RNA", at positions 524 to 776 of the family's 1533-position model. The record is from RNAcentral.
UACGUAGGGGGCGAGCGUUGUCCGGAGUUACUGGGCGUAAAGGGCAUGUAGGCGGUCAGCGAAGUUUAUGGUGACAGGGGAGGGCUUCACCCUGCCAGGGCCGUGAAAACUGGUUGACUAGAGGGCCAGAGAGGGACAUGGAAUUCCGGGUGGAGCGGUGAAAUGCGUAGAGAUCCGGACGAACACCAAAGGCGAAGGCAGUGUCCUGGCUGGUGACUGACGCUGAGGUGCGAAAGCCAGGGGAGCGAACGGG